ACAAAUGUAAUCCAAUUACCAACCACACUGUGCACUGUUAACGUAUGCUUUGGUAGGGAGUGAAAUGGCGGGAGCCUCCGGGCGCCAGUCUUUCGAUCUGCCAGAGUUUUUUAAAUACUAAACAAACAAACGUCUUAUUAUCUGACUGAACUUCAUUUAAACAAAUGAAAAUA
This 173-nucleotide unclassified non-coding RNA is filed under the name uncultured Basidiobolus. RNAcentral's name for it is "sequence contains ITS1". The record is from RNAcentral. Lineage: Eukaryota; Fungi; Basidiobolomycota; Basidiobolomycetes; Basidiobolales; Basidiobolaceae.